This 295-nucleotide unclassified non-coding RNA is filed under the name Glomus sp. RNAcentral's name for it is "partial contains 5.8S ribosomal RNA and internal transcribed spacer 2". The stretch from base 1 to 65 matches the Rfam family "5.8S ribosomal RNA", at positions 84 to 154 of the family's 154-position model. The record is from RNAcentral. Lineage: Eukaryota; Fungi; Glomeromycota; Glomeromycetes; Glomerales; Glomeraceae.
GUGAAUCAUCGAAUUUUUGAACGCAAAUUGCACUCUCCUUGGAGAGUAGGCCUGUUUGAGUUUCAGCCUAUAAAAAUCGACAUCGUUACUUUUUCUCGGUGUCGUUCGUCGGAAAUUGGUUCAUCUUAAAUCCUUUUGAUUUAAGCGACUUAAAAUUUUCGUUUGGUUCCAUGAACGUUUCUAAUAUCUAUUUAUUUACACGUUUAAGGCAUCGAUUUUUACUAUACUUUACCAUCAUAUCGGAUCGCGUCCAUAUGCUUUCAUUAACUUACCUCAGAUAGGUAAGAGUACACGC